This 253-nucleotide ribosomal RNA is filed under the name uncultured bacterium. RNAcentral's name for it is "partial 16S ribosomal RNA". It matches the Rfam family "Bacterial small subunit ribosomal RNA", at positions 524 to 776 of the family's 1533-position model. The record is from RNAcentral.
UACAGAGGGUGCAAGCGUUAAUCGGAAUUACUGGGCGUAAAGCGCGCGCAGGCGGUCUUCCAAGUCAGUGGUGAAAGCCCGGAGCUCAACUCCGGAACUGCCAUUGAAACUGUGAGACUGGAGUACGAGAGAGGUGAGUGGAAUUCCCAGUGUAGAGGUGAAAUUCGUAGAUAUUGGGAAGAACACCGGUGGCGAAGGCGGCUCACUGGCUCGUAACUGACGCUCAGGCGCGACAGCGUGGGGAUCAAACAGG